This 963-nucleotide long non-coding RNA is filed under the name Ananas comosus (pineapple). RNAcentral describes it as "long non-coding RNA (ACOM_LNC030257)". Lineage: Eukaryota; Viridiplantae; Streptophyta; Magnoliopsida; Poales; Bromeliaceae. The record is from RNAcentral.
UGUCCGGUUGACGCAUAUAACUAUAGUAGCAGUGGUCACUUGUAUAUCUUCAGUUCUUUCGUUACAUUGUUUUGUUACUAUAGUCUUGUUACAUGUAUACAUUUAGUUGUUCAUUACAGUAGCGGUAGUUGUACUUUCUUUCAUAUAUAUGUCUCUUUCAUUCAUUAUUAUUGCUACUGUAUUUUCUACUGACCCGUACUAUUGUUUAGCUCUUCCUGAUCCGAUGAGUACUCCUCGCCUUCAUCGGCUUGCUGUACCCACUGGGAUGGGAGAUAUGUUUACAUGUUCUCACCUCCCCCACCAUUUUUCAGGUAUUGCAGGCGAUGAGUUUUGGGACGAGACGUGAGGUACGUUCGUAGCGGUCGAUAGAGCUUCCGACCCAGGUUAUCGAUUUAGUUUUUAUCCUUACUAUUCUGUUGUUAUAGCCUAGUUAGUUUAUAUGGUUCAGUUAGAUGAUCAUACUUGAUGUUUGAACGUUGUGAGCUGGUUGAAUUUGUGGAUUUGUGGAUUUGUGGAUUUGAUUUAUGGAUCUUCAGUUUUGGGAUGUUUGUAUACUUUGUGGUUCUCGGAUUUGUAUUUAUGGAUUUACGCAUCGUGGUUUUCUACCCCUCGAGGUAGUCGGUUUUCAAAAUAGAGUUUCCGUGUGGGAAACAGUUUUCAAAAGGUUUUCAAAUGGUUUUUCAUGAUGAAUGAAUUAGAGUUCAAAAAUAAAAGCUUCUGUGUGGGGAGCACUUUUAAAUAGAAUGGUUGUUGUAUUGUGCAUUGCAUCAUUCACCGCCUAAGGAGUGCUUAGAGGCAUGCAUCAUUCUAAGGAUUGUUAGCUGUAUGGAAAUACAUAUCAUGCUUUGGUUGUUGAUUGGUAAAUGUAGGUUGUGAUUGAGAUCCUGUUGUAUCCGUUGGUACGCCGUGCAAAUACAAAGGAGACUCUGCCCGAGUGGACAGAGGAACUUUGUAUUUGUGGCG